This 1479-nucleotide ribosomal RNA is filed under the name Lernaeodiscus porcellanae. Its description in RNAcentral is "partial large subunit ribosomal RNA". It matches the Rfam family "Eukaryotic large subunit ribosomal RNA", at positions 34 to 1284 of the family's 3401-position model. Lineage: Eukaryota; Metazoa; Arthropoda; Thecostraca; Lernaeodiscidae. The record is from RNAcentral.
UUAAGCAUAUCAUUAAGUGCAGGAAAAGAAACCAAAUGGGAUUCCCUGAGUAACGGCGAGUGAAACGGGAUCAGCUCAGCGUCGAAGCCGGCCGUCGAGAGAUGGUCGUGCAAUGUGACGUUCGGGAAGGCUAUCAUGUCCGCGUGCACCAUCGGUCCAAGUCUUCUGGAAGGAAGUCCCUUGGAGGGUGAUAGGCCCGUUCGGCCGACUGGUGUGUUCACGGUCAAGUCUUCCUUCGAGUCGGGUUGUUCGCAAAUGCAGCCCUAAGCAGGUGGUAAGCUCCAUCUAAGGCUCAAUAUGACCACAAGUCCGAUAGUCAACAAGUACAGUGAUGGAAAGUUGAAAAGUACUCUGAAGAGAGAGUCAAACAGCACGUGAAGCUGCCUACUAUGGGAUUAAGCGCACGUGCGGCACUUGUCGUUCGACAAAUAGGCGCCGGCUGUUGUUUGUUGGUGUUGCCAGUGUGCGGUGCUGAACGCGCUGUAUGCGACAAUACCGAAUGAGUGAUAGCAGCAGAGCGCUUCCCUUUGUUGAGCAUUGACAGGUCGAAGCUUCGUCGCAAUUAUAUCGGUCCUAUUGCCGGUUGUUAUUUGGUGAGCCGGGCUCGGCUGUUGUGCUGUCGCAAGACAGUGUGACAGUGACGCGUCGAACUGGCGCCUACUAUUGGUGGCGGCGUCGAGUCUGGUCAGCAAUGCAAUGCAACUGUGUGUGCGAGAGACUGUGCGACGGCUGGCGCAACGCGGGUUUCGGCUCGCUGUUCGGCCUCUGUGCUUGCACGUGCGGCCCGUCUUGAAACACGGACCAAGGAGUCUAACAUAUCAGCAAGCGAUUGAGAUUUUGUCUAAUCUCAAACGCACAAUGAAAGUGAAGUGUCGUCUGACGGCAUGAGCGGAGAUUUGCGACACUCCGAUUGCAACGCAUCCGCGGGCCGCGCUAUUGGCUAGCUUGUCGACCUCCGGUUGGCACUGCCAAGGCGUGGACCCAGAGCUGAUACGUUGGGACCCGAAAGAUGGUGAACUAUGCCUGGCCAGGAUGAAGCCAGGGGAAACCCUGGUGGAGGUCCGUAGCGAUUCUGACGUGCAAAUCGAUCGUCUGAGCUGGGUAUAGGGGCGAAAGACCAAUCGAACCAUCUAGUAGCUGGUUCCGCCCGAAGUUUCCCUCAGGAUAGCUGGCGCUCGUGUGAUACGGAGUUUCAUCCGGUAAAGCGAAUGACUAGAGGAAAUGGGCUUUUUCCUUGCUCAACCUAUUCUCAAACUUUCAAUGGGUGAGACGUCUCGCUGGCUUCAGUGCAGCGACGACUCUGUGAAUCCCUGAGUGCCCAGUGGGCCACUUUUGGUAAGCAGAACUGGCGAUGCGGGAUGAACCGCAUGUUGAAUUAAGGUGCCCAAGCGAACGCUAAUCAGAUACCAUGAAAGGUGUUGAUUGCUCACGACAGCAGGACGGUGGCCAUGGAAGUCGGCAUCCGCUAAGGAGUGUGUA